ACGUAGGUGGCAAGCGUUGUCCGGAUUUACUGGGUAUAAAGGGAGCGCAGGCGGGGAAGCAAGUCAGCGGUGAAAUACAUGGGCUUAACCCAUGAACUGCCGUUGAAACUGUUUUUCUUGAGUGAAGUAGAGGCAGGCGGAAUUCCGAGUGUAGCGGUGAAAUGCGUAGAUAUUCGGAGGAACACCAGUGGCGAAGGCGGCCUGCUGGGCUUUUACUGACGCUGAGGCUCGAAAGCGUGGGGAGCAAACAG
RNAcentral lists this ribosomal RNA (251 nucleotides) under uncultured bacterium. RNAcentral's name for it is "partial 16S ribosomal RNA". It matches the Rfam family "Bacterial small subunit ribosomal RNA", at positions 525 to 775 of the family's 1533-position model. The record is from RNAcentral.